This 254-nucleotide ribosomal RNA is filed under the name uncultured bacterium. Its description in RNAcentral is "partial 16S ribosomal RNA". It matches the Rfam family "Bacterial small subunit ribosomal RNA", at positions 524 to 776 of the family's 1533-position model. The record is from RNAcentral.
UACGGGGGGAGCAAGCGUUGUUCGGAUUUACUGGGCGUAAAGGGCGCGUAGGCGGCCUCCGCAAGUCAGUUGUGAAAUCUCCGAGCUUAACUCGGAAAGGUCAACUGAUACUGCGGGGCUAGAGUGCGGAAGGGGCAACUGGAAUUCUUGGUGUAGCGGUGAAAUGCGUAGAUAUCAAGAGGAACACCUGCGGCGAAGGCGGGUUGCUGGGCCGACACUGACGCUGAGGUGCGAAAGCGUGGGGAGCAAACAGG